This 253-nucleotide ribosomal RNA is filed under the name uncultured bacterium. RNAcentral describes it as "partial 16S ribosomal RNA". It matches the Rfam family "Bacterial small subunit ribosomal RNA", at positions 524 to 776 of the family's 1533-position model. The record is from RNAcentral.
UACGGGGGGGGCAAGCGUUGUUCGGAAUUACUGGGCGUAAAGGGCUCGUAGGCGGCCAACUAAGUCAGACGUGAAAUCCCUCGGCUUAACCGGGGAACUGCAUCUGAUACUGGAUGGCUUGAGUUCGGGAGAGGGAUGCGGAAUUCCAGGUGUAGCGGUGGAAUGCGUAGAUAUCGGGAGGAAUACCAGUGGCGAAAGCGACACCCUGGCAUUAGCCUGACGCUCAGGUGCGAAGGCGUGGGGAGCGAACGGG